GAUGAAGAACGUAGCGAAAUGCGAUAAGUAAUGUGAAUUGCAGAAUUCAGUGAAUCAUCGAAUCUUUGAACGCACAUUGCGCCCCUUGGUAUUCCGAGGGGCAUGCCUUUUCGAGCGUCAUUAUAACCCCUCAAGCUCAGCUUGGUGUUGGGGCCUGCUGCACUGGCAGCCCUUAAAAUCAGUGGCGGCGCCAUCUGGCUCUAAGCGUAGUAAUUCUUCUCGCUAUGGAGUCCUGGUGGAUGCUUGCCAUCAACCCCCAAUUUUUCUAUGGUUGACCUCGGAUCAGGUAGGGAUACCCGCUGAACUUAAGCAUAUCAAUAAGCGGAGGA
RNAcentral lists this unclassified non-coding RNA (329 nucleotides) under soil metagenome. RNAcentral's name for it is "partial contains 5.8S ribosomal RNA, internal transcribed spacer 2, and large subunit ribosomal RNA". The stretch from base 1 to 120 matches the Rfam family "5.8S ribosomal RNA", at positions 35 to 154 of the family's 154-position model. The record is from RNAcentral.